This 285-nucleotide signal recognition particle RNA is filed under the name Pediculus humanus corporis (human body louse). RNAcentral describes it as "metazoan signal recognition particle RNA". It matches the Rfam family "Metazoan signal recognition particle RNA". From Rfam's summary of the family: The signal recognition particle (SRP) is a universally conserved ribonucleoprotein. Lineage: Eukaryota; Metazoa; Arthropoda; Insecta; Psocodea; Pediculidae. The record is from Rfam by way of RNAcentral.
ACUGGGAGUGGUGGCGUACUUUUGUAAUUCAACUACUCGGGAGGUAGGUAUAGAGAGGAUGUUUUAAAGGCGAGGAUUUGGGGAUUGGAUUUCCCACGUUGAGCAGGCGUUUGCUGGGGGUAAAUCUUCAACUUGGAUGCCUUGGGGGAGCUCGAGGUAGCCAGGUUGAGUUCAAAAAGGGGGAAAAUUCGGACCAAAAGUCACCGAGUUGAGAGUCGUGGGUUCAAAUCCUAGGAGUGGGAGUUCGAUUUCAGGUCGUCUAAAAAAGAACAGGCCUGUACCUAU